GUUAAAACUCAAAUGAAUUGACGGGGGCCCGCACAAGCGGUGGAGCAUGUGGUUUAAUUCGAUGCAACGCGAAGAACCUUACCUGGUCUUGACAUCCACAGAACUUUCCAGAGAUGGAUUGGUGCCUUCGGGAACUGUGAGACAGGUGCUGCAUGGCUGUCGUCAGCUCGUGUUGUGAAAUGUUGGGUUAAGUCCCGCAACGAGCGCAACCCUUAUCCUUUGUUGCCAGCGGUUAGGCCGGGAACUCAAAGGAGACUGCCAGUGAUAAACUGGAGGAAGGUGGGGAUGACGUCAAGUCAUCAUGGCCCUUACGACCAGGGCUACACACGUGCUACAAUGGCAUAUACAAAGAGAAGCGACCUCGCGAGAGCAAGCGGACCUCAUAAAGUAUGUCGUAGUCCGGAUUGGAGUCUGCAACUCGACUCCAUGAAGUCGGAAUCGCUAGUAAUCGUAGAUCAGAAUGCUACGGUGAAUACGUUCCCGGGCCUUGUACACACCGCCCGUCACACCAUGGGAGUGGGUUGCAAAAGAAGUAGGUAGCUUAACCUUCGGGAGGGCGCUUACCACUUUGUGAUUCAUGACUGGGGUGAAGUCGUAACAAGUACCGAGG
This 610-nucleotide ribosomal RNA is filed under the name Klebsiella sp. S1. RNAcentral describes it as "bacterial SSU rRNA". It matches the Rfam family "Bacterial small subunit ribosomal RNA", at positions 893 to 1504 of the family's 1533-position model. Lineage: Bacteria; Pseudomonadati; Pseudomonadota; Gammaproteobacteria; Enterobacterales; Enterobacteriaceae. The record is from RNAcentral.